GAUGAACGCUGGCGGCGUGCUUAACACAUGCAAGUCGAACGAUGAAGCCCAGCUUGCUGGGUGGAUUAGUGGCGAACGGGUGAGUAACACGUGAGUAACCUGCCCUUAACUCUGGGAUAAGCCGGGGAAACUGGGUCUAAUACCGGAUAUGAUCGUCCACCGCAUGGUGGGUGUUGGAAAGAUUUAUCGGUUUUGGAUGGACUCGCGGCCUAUCAGCUUGUUGGUGAGGUAAUGGCUCACCAAGGCGACGACGGGUAGCCGGCCUGAGAGGGUGACCGGCCACACUGGGACUGGGAAACGGCCCAGACUCCUACGGGAGGCAGCAGUGGGGAAUAUUGCACAAUGGGCGCAAGCCUGAUGCAGCGACGCCGCGUGGGGGAUGACGGCCUUCGGGUUGUAAACCUCUUUAAGUAGGGAAGAAGCGAAAGUGACGGUACCUGCAGAAGAAGCACCGGCUAACUACGUG
RNAcentral lists this ribosomal RNA (466 nucleotides) under uncultured bacterium. RNAcentral describes it as "partial 16S ribosomal RNA". It matches the Rfam family "Bacterial small subunit ribosomal RNA", at positions 28 to 507 of the family's 1533-position model. The record is from RNAcentral.